RNAcentral lists this non-coding RNA (29 nucleotides) under Rattus norvegicus (Norway rat). Lineage: Eukaryota; Metazoa; Chordata; Mammalia; Rodentia; Muridae. The record is from RNAcentral.
UGUGUGUUCCCUAUGCAGAGGAGGUGCGC